AUUUAAAUAGUUUAAUAAAAAUACUAAUUUGUGGAAUUAGAGAUAUAAAAAAUUUAUUUUAAAUU
This 65-nucleotide transfer RNA is filed under the name Polistes sp. MD1. RNAcentral's name for it is "tRNA-His". The record is from RNAcentral. Lineage: Eukaryota; Metazoa; Arthropoda; Insecta; Hymenoptera; Vespidae.